This 497-nucleotide ribosomal RNA is filed under the name uncultured bacterium. Its description in RNAcentral is "partial 16S ribosomal RNA". It matches the Rfam family "Bacterial small subunit ribosomal RNA", at positions 28 to 507 of the family's 1533-position model. The record is from RNAcentral.
GAUGAACGCUGGCGGCGUGCCUAAUACAUGCAAGUCGAGCGAAAAGACGAGGAGCUUGCUCCUCUGACGUUAGCGGCGGACGGGUGAGUAACACGUGGAUAACCUACCUAUAAGACUGGGAUAACUUCGGGAAACCGGAGCUAAUACCGGAUAAUAUAUUGAACCGCAUGGUUCAAUAGUGAAAGACGGUUUUGCUGUCACUUAUAGAUGGAUCCGCGCCGCAUUAGCUAGUUGGUAAGGUAACGGCUUACCAAGGCAACGAUGCGUAGCCGACCUGAGAGGGUGAUCGGCCACACUGGAACUGAGACACGGUCCAGACUCCUACGGGAGGCAGCAGUAGGGAAUCUUCCGCAAAGGGCGAAAGCCUGACGGAGCAACGCCGCGUGAGUGAUGAAGGUCUUCGGAUCGUAAAGCUCUGUUAUUAGGGAAGAACAAAUGUGUAAGUAACUAUGCACGUCUUGACGGUACCUAAUCAGAAAGCCACGGCUAACUACGUG